Long non-coding RNA from Motacilla alba alba, 593 nucleotides. RefSeq lists it as uncharacterized. NCBI's taxonomy places the organism in Eukaryota, Metazoa, Chordata, Aves, Passeriformes, Motacillidae. The record is from RefSeq and is a predicted model, not a curated record. The transcript has 2 exons.
AGUGCUGAACUGUGCAGUACAAGAAGUGGGAGAAUAAGUUUCACCAUUAUGAUGAGCAAGCAAAGUUGCUGAAAGUCUAAAUCCAGCCAGAAAACAUUCGUUCUACUCAAAAGAGACUUCACUGAUUCUACUACAGCAGUGGUGCAAAAAACACCCGUGUGAAAGGACCCAUUGAAGCACAAGGAUUGUUACAGCUACAGACAGUGAAGCACGGGAGAUAUUGUGUAGCAACUGCAAGGGACUUGGACCAUUGCGUAUUUCUCUGAUAGUUUGAUAACCUUGGCUGACAGAACAGCCUAUUUCCCACCUUCAGCCUUUCUAACCAACAUAAUUGGUUUCCCUGUCUCCAGAAAGACAGCUACAAAAUAUUGCAAGCAAGCUAUCUUAGCAAUAAGAAUGAAGACAACCUAUUUGCAAAGACAAGCUGUAGAAAUACCUCUACACUAGCAGAAAUAGAAUGUUAAACUGUUAGGAGAGUUCACGCACUAAUAUCAAACAGUGUACUUGUGUGUUUUUAAUAUACUAAGUUAAUCUGACGAAGAGUCACUUAACAGACAAAGUAAAAAAGUGGAAAUAAACAGCACUCAAAAAUA